Molecule: ribosomal RNA, 859 nt
Filed under: Staphylococcus sp. EA_L_14
Lineage: Bacteria; Bacillati; Bacillota; Bacilli; Caryophanales; Staphylococcaceae
Description: bacterial SSU rRNA
Rfam family: Bacterial small subunit ribosomal RNA
Source: RNAcentral
UAUACAUGCAAGUCGAGCGAACAGACGAGGAGCUUGCUCCUCUGACGUUAGCGGCGGACGGGUGAGUAACACGUGGAUAACCUACCUAUAAGACUGGGAUAACUUCGGGAAACCGGAGCUAAUACCGGAUAAUAUAUUGAACCGCAUGGUUCAAUAGUGAAAGACGGUUUUGCUGUCACUUAUAGAUGGAUCCGCGCCGCAUUAGCUAGUUGGUAAGGUAACGGCUUACCAAGGCAACGAUGCGUAGCCGACCUGAGAGGGUGAUCGGCCACACUGGAACUGAGACACGGUCCAGACUCCUACGGGAGGCAGCAGUAGGGAAUCUUCCGCAAUGGGCGAAAGCCUGACGGAGCAACGCCGCGUGAGUGAUGAAGGUCUUCGGAUCGUAAAACUCUGUUAUUAGGGAAGAACAAAUGUGUAAGUAACUAUGCACGUCUUGACGGUACCUAAUCAGAAAGCCACGGCUAACUACGUGCCAGCAGCCGCGGUAAUACGUAGGUGGCAAGCGUUAUCCGGAAUUAUUGGGCGUAAAGCGCGCGUAGGCGGUUUUUUAAGUCUGAUGUGAAAGCCCACGGCUCAACCGUGGAGGGUCAUUGGAAACUGGAAAACUUGAGUGCAGAAGAGGAAAGUGGAAUUCCAUGUGUAGCGGUGAAAUGCGCAGAGAUAUGGAGGAACACCAGUGGCGAAGGCGACUUUCUGGUCUGUAACUGACGCUGAUGUGCGAAAGCGUGGGGAUCAAACAGGAUUAGAUACCCUGGUAGUCCACGCCGUAAACGAUGAGUGCUAAGUGUUAGGGGGUUUCCGCCCCUUAGUGCUGCAGCUAACGCAUUAAGCACUCCGCCUGGGGAGUACGACCGCA